GCGACAGUGGCUCAGUUGGAUAGAGCAAUGGUCUUCUAAACCAUGGGUCGCGGGUUCGAACCCCGCCUGUCGCA
Molecule: transfer RNA, 74 nt
Filed under: Schleiferilactobacillus shenzhenensis LY-73
Lineage: Bacteria; Bacillati; Bacillota; Bacilli; Lactobacillales; Lactobacillaceae
Description: Lactobacillus shenzhenensis LY-73 tRNA-Arg
Rfam family: tRNA
About the family: Transfer RNA (tRNA) molecules are approximately 80 nucleotides in length. Their secondary structure includes four short double-helical elements and three loops (D, anti-codon, and T loops).
Source: RNAcentral